UGAGAGAGAAGACUGCGGAACAAAAAGGAGUUUUGCCAUGUUUACUAUUGCGCUUUCUUUGGGAAAAGUGUCAGAGUUGAAAAAAUUUCAGAGCAAAAGAUAUGUUUCACUCCAAAACUGGGGGGCAUGUGUUGACGCCGGAUUUUGACACAUGUUUGGAUCAGUGUCAGAGGAGAGGAAGGCAGUCGAUGCGGUGGGCUAGAAGCUACAGUUGGGAAUCGGCCAAUUAGAGCUACAGUGUUUCGGCCGAUUGGUGGAAGGAGUCAAUGGAGGCUGGCCGAUUGGGAGCCAGAACGGCUUGGUCGGUGUGGGCCUAAAGUGGGCCAGGG
Molecule: long non-coding RNA, 329 nt
Filed under: Setaria italica (foxtail millet)
Lineage: Eukaryota; Viridiplantae; Streptophyta; Magnoliopsida; Poales; Poaceae
Description: long non-coding RNA (SITA_LNC005681)
Source: RNAcentral